This 324-nucleotide ribosomal RNA is filed under the name uncultured eukaryote. RNAcentral's name for it is "partial 18S ribosomal RNA". It matches the Rfam family "Eukaryotic small subunit ribosomal RNA", at positions 1470 to 1796 of the family's 1831-position model. The record is from RNAcentral.
CGCUUAGAUGUUCUGGGCCGCACGCGCGCUACACUGAUGCAUUCAACGAGUUUCUUCCUGGUCCGAGAGGAAUGGGUAACCUUUUGAAAGUGCAUCGUGAUAGGGAUAGACUAUUGCAAUUAUUGGUCUUCAACGAGGAAUUCCUAGUAGACGUAGUUCAUCAGACUGCAUCGAUUACGUCCCUGCCCUUUGUACACACCGCCCGUCGCUCCUACCGAUUGAAUGCUCAGGUGAGCCAUUCGGACUUUCAUCAUGCUGGUUUCCAGUUUUGAUGAAGGAAAGUCUUGCGAACCUUAUCAUUUAGAGGAAGGAGAAGUCGUAACA